UACGUAGGAGGCAAGCGUUGUCCGGAUUUACUGGGUGUAAAGGGCGUGUAGGCGGGUUAUCAAGUCAGAUGUGAAAUUCCAUGGCUCAACUGUGGCGCUGCAUCUGAAACUGAUGAUCUUGAGUGAUGGAGAGGAAAGCGCAAUUCCCAGUGUAGCGGUGAAAUGCGUAGAUAUUAGGAGGAACACCAGUGGCGAAGGCGGCUUUCUGGACAUUAACUGACGCUGAGGCGCGAAAGCGUGGGGAGCAAACAGG
RNAcentral lists this ribosomal RNA (253 nucleotides) under uncultured bacterium. RNAcentral's name for it is "partial 16S ribosomal RNA". It matches the Rfam family "Bacterial small subunit ribosomal RNA", at positions 524 to 776 of the family's 1533-position model. The record is from RNAcentral.